RNAcentral lists this long non-coding RNA (2161 nucleotides) under Diabrotica virgifera virgifera (western corn rootworm). RNAcentral's name for it is "uncharacterized LOC126881552". The record is from RNAcentral. Lineage: Eukaryota; Metazoa; Arthropoda; Insecta; Coleoptera; Chrysomelidae.
GAUAAAAAGAAUUUCUGUCCAAUUUGUUUCGUAGAAGUGAGUCAUUUUGCAAGACAUUUGGAAAGAAAACAUGAUGACGAAAGUCGAGUAAAAAAGAUUUUAUCUUUUCCAAAAGGAUCUAAUGAAAGGAAAACCUUAUGGGAUUAUUUACGCAUGGAAGGAAAUUUUCAUUUGUUUAGAGAAGAAAAAAAAGUGGUGGCUGUUCGAAGGCCCACGGAAGCCCAAGCAUUAGACUUUGACGAUUUUGUUGUUUGCGAAAACUGUUCUGGGGUGUACAAAAAUUUUUUUUCUAUAAGCAUGCUAAAAAUGCCAAGAAAAACACUGGUACAAAGUGUGGGCGACUAAAUGCCUUAACUCAAUCCCAAACAUUUUCAGCGGAUUCUCGCUGCCAAAACAGUUUUUUAUCACAGUCAAGAUUAAAGAAAGAGGUAUUUUGCAUUAUGAAAGCAGAUAAAAUAAGCGCCACCUCAAAAAAUGAUAUUUUUAAUAUGUUUAUUCGGGGAAACCCAUCUUAAAAAACAUAAAAGAAAGCAAAUUGUAACAGUAGCAACAAAAUGAGAGAAUUAGCAAGACUUUUGAUUGCUCUUAGAGAGUUCACACCUGUUCAGAACCUAAUUGAUGCUAUGAAACCAGAAUUAUUUGACGAUUUAGUUACGGCCACAAAAGUAAUUUCGGGAUUUAGCAAUGCCGAUAAAAGCUUUAAAUCUUCUUCAUUAGCACUUCAUAUGGGUACCACUUUAAAACAAGUAUGCGAUAUAACUAAUCGAAUGAUUUUAAAAAAAUUUCCAUUCUUUACCUUUAAAAACCCUAAUGAGGAAAAAAAGCAUUCCAGAUUUUAAAACAUUAGAGACCAGUUGGGCCAAUGAAAUUUCUUCAUUAGGCCUUAAAACAAUAAAAGAACGGCAAUGGGAAAACCCCAAAUACUGCCGGUGACAAGUGAAGUAAUUAAGUUUAAUAGUUUUGUCAAAAAUCAGGUUGAAGACAGUGCCAAAAAAUUAAACAAACUUUUAGAAAAGAAGGGGAAACAAAAUGACAAAAAUAAUUUACUUCCUUUAUAUAAAACCUUAGCAAAAGGAGUAAUGGCCCUUCUUUUAAUACUAAAUAGAAAACGCAUCGGUGAGAUUCAAUACCUUGAAAUUUCUACUUACAAAAGAUCAUUUGCGGACCCCAGUGUUCAACAAGAAAUUGCUGAAAGUUUAACUGUUUCAGAAAAACUAUUGUGUAGAAACUUUUAGAAGAAUUAUUUUAUUUUAAUUUCUCCUUUUUUAAACGAGAAAAUUGAGCUGAUGAUUAAAAUAAGAGAAAAAAUAAAAUUAAUUCCAAAAGAUAAUAAAUACAUUUUUGCAAAUCCCAAUUCGUCGAAAGGUUGGUUUCAUGGAACAAGUGUAAUUAAACAAUUUGCAAAAAGCUGUGGGGCAAAGGAUCCCAACUCUCUAACUUCUACCGAAUUUCGAAAACAGACUGCUACAAUUUUACAGAUUAUGGAUAUUCAUAAUACUGACAUGGAACAAUUAGCCACUUUUAUGGGUCAUACAAAAAAAACCAUGAAGAAUGGUAUAGACUUCCUCAAGAUCUAUACCAGACUGCAAAAAUAGCCAAACCAAUGAUCGCUUUAAAUAAAGGUGAUGUUAAUAUUUACAAAGGAAAGAGCUUAGACGAUAUCAAUAUAGAAGAAAAUGACUACUUGGAAAUUGAAAACAUAGAAACAGAAGUAAAUGAAAUAAAUGAAAAGAGCCUACUCAUUCUUGGAGUCCUAAAAGUAAUUGUAGCGAUGUAACUGACGAAAAAAUUGAACAAGCUAAUAAAAAUGAAAAAGUUUCGUCGAAGGGUAAAAGAAAGUUAUCUACCGAUGAAAUGACGCAUCCAAUGCAAAAUAAUAAAGUUACAAAAAGAAAGCCAACUACUGAAAAAACCGAAAGCAGUUCAAAUGCGAUUGCAGGCACCGAUGGACCGAAAAGGACAAACAAACGAUGCUUAAAUACUUUACAAGAUUCAUAAAAGAAAAAGAGUUCCGAAAAAAGCAGACGUACAGGAAUUUAAAAAAAAAAUAAAGCUGGAGAAAACUUUAAAUCAAUUGAUGGGGUAAAAAUUAAAACGUUUGUUUACAAUUCUUACAGAAUGUAGUUUUUGUGAAGUUUUUAUUAAAUAACGUGUUUCUAAA